Silurus meridionalis is the source of this 1985-nucleotide long non-coding RNA. RefSeq lists it as uncharacterized. The record is from RefSeq and is a predicted model, not a curated record. The transcript has 4 exons. NCBI's taxonomy places the organism in Eukaryota, Metazoa, Chordata, Actinopteri, Siluriformes, Siluridae.
GCAACAAGAAGUAUGGGGUUGAUGUGGAUGAGACAGAGGGAAUCAGCGACAUCAACAGAGACAUUCCCGAUCACAUGAUCAUCGUCUUCUUGUCUCUGCUUGUGUUCUAUAUGGUGGUUGUUCAGCCUGGAUACAUUUAUUAGUGGCUGACAAAGGAGAAGAAAUUAAUUUGGUCACGGAUAUACUUGCAAGGCCAUUUUCAAGACAGACUUGUCAAGAAACCCUGGACAUUGUAAAAAAAAAGUGCUGGACAUGUGAAACCCACACAGGAACAACGCCAACCUCAAGAGCCAUUCACAGUAAAAUUAUGCAGUGGAAAAAAUGAUUAUGUCCUCAUCUUUAAGUGUCAUUCCAUCCAUCUGGGACCUCUUGGAGCCAUUAUACAGUUUAUGUUAGCCAAACAAAGAAGGGCUCCAUUCAACAGCUGGCAAGAGCACACAUGAAAAUUGCAGCAUUUUAUUCACAGAGUAGCCAUUAGUUUUGACUUGACAGUGACAUGUCUGUACACACCAACAUGGCAUAUUUCAUAUUUUUAUAGUAUUAAAUGGUAUAAGAGACAACAUCUGUGUAUAAUAUUAAGAGCCAGUGUGUAUUUAUUAAACUUUAUAUACUUUUACAUUUAGAGAUUUGUGCAAAAGUUGUUAUUUAGUUUUUUCAAUCAAUGUAUUCAACUGUAUAUAGCAUUAUAGAUAUUUACUAUAUAUGAUGCUGUACAAAUAUAUUUAUAACAUUUUAUACAAAUAUAUACAUAUACUGUACAUAUCGCCUUGUGUUUUAUGCAAGAAUUGUUUAUUUAAUAAGUACUAGGGUGUGAAUAUAAUAUACUGCCUGUGUCACAUUAAAAUAACAAACUAUAGUGUGUAGUAAUAGUACAAAAUAGGCUUUUACAUUUUUUUUUGUUUCUAAAUAGUGAACAUUUCUUGAACUCGUGACAGUCAUUUUUGAUACGAUGUAGCACAUAUUUGCAAGCAUCGAGUAAAACAGAAAUUAAUCACAUUAAAUUGAUAUUAAUCUGAAUUAUAUAUUGCUCUAUAACUAUACAUUUUGAUAAAGCACUGAAUAGUCAAUUCAGCUAUAUUGCAGUUGCUAACAGCCAAAGAAAACAUGAUUUUCUUUUCUAAAUACAGCAUAAUACAUAAUUGUAACGCUUCAUGCUGCAAAAUAAGCAUUAAGCUCAGAAUUUAAAACAGAGAUAAAAAUACAUUUAAUAAUAUGCACACUGCCUUAUAUAUGCAGUAUAUCACAGUAUGAACAAGUUCGUAGUUCUUUGUGCCACAAAGUGGAAGCGCUUGUAAUGAAGAGAUAGCACAAAAGAGUAAUCGUAAUUUUUGUCUGAGGGAGCAAAAACAUUUUUUUCCUUACAAAAGCAACUCCUGGGUUCAUAUAGUACAGUAUAUUGCAGUGUUAAAUCUCUUUCAAUUAUAAAUACUUUAUAAACCAGACAUUGCAAAAAGCUAAUCAUCAAUGAUAUCUCUGAUUAGUUACAGUGGUGCUUAGUUAUUUGUGUGAAAUGCCAUUUGUUCAUACUUUUGCCACUUACAGUUGUGUAAAAUUAGAUUGUUUGUUUGUGUUUCUCAAUAAAUAAAUGACCAAGUGUAAUAUUUAUGUCUCAUUUGUAUAAUUGGGUUUAUAUAGGGUUAUAUUUAGUAAGGUUUUAUAAACUUUCAAGCACCACUGUAUAUUGGUUAUAAUAAAUGGUACUGGAGCUACAACAAAGUCUUUCAGUUCAUAUGAAUACCUGAAAAGGACCAUCAAUUUGACCAUUAAUUCAUAUUUUGAUUGUCUAUAUUUUUUUAAUUCCGAAAUAAGAUAAUGGAAUAUGUUAAACUACAAGCCUAUAGAGUCUAUACAGUCUUUAAAUAGGAUUAUAUUGUACAUGACCAAAACAACUCCAUGUAAUGUUAAAAAUUUUUGACAAGCAUCCAUGAGCAUGUGCACACUAAAAAUGCUUGUGAAUACGACCAUAAAGUUUUUGAAUCCUUAAA